Molecule: ribosomal RNA, 329 nt
Filed under: uncultured eukaryote
Lineage: Eukaryota
Description: partial 18S ribosomal RNA
Rfam family: Eukaryotic small subunit ribosomal RNA
Source: RNAcentral
CCCUUAGAUGUUCUGGGCCGCACGCGCGCUACACUGAGUGUCUGAGAUACGAGUCUGCCUGGUCCGGCAAGGUCUAGGUAAUCGCUAAAAGACACAUCAUGCUUGGGAUAGAUUAUUGCAAAUAUUAAUCUUGAACGAGGAAUUCCUAGUAAACGCAGAUCAUCAAUCUGCAUUGAUUACGUCCCUGCCCUUUGUACACACCGCCCGUCGCACCUACCGAUUGGAUGGUCCGGUGAAGCCUCGGGAUUGUGGUUCUUGCCGCUUUAUUGUGGCGUGACCGCGAGAACUUGUCUAAACCUUAUCAUCUAGAGGAAGGUGAAGUCGUAACA